Molecule: ribosomal RNA, 254 nt
Filed under: uncultured bacterium
Lineage: Bacteria
Description: partial 16S ribosomal RNA
Rfam family: Bacterial small subunit ribosomal RNA
Source: RNAcentral
UACGUAGGGGGCAAGCGUUGUCCGGAAUCAUUGGGCGUAAAGAGCGUGUAGGCGGCCCGGUAAGUCCGCUGUGAAAGUCCAGGGCUCAACCCUGGAAUGCCGGUGGAAACUGUCGGGCUAGAGUCCGGAAGAGGCGAGUGGAAUUCCUGGUGUAGCGGUGAAAUGCGCAGAUAUCAGGAGGAACACCAAUGGCGAAGGCAGCUCGCUGGGACGGUACUGACGCUGAGACGCGAAAGCGUGGGGAGCAAACAGGG